Molecule: ribosomal RNA, 1312 nt
Filed under: uncultured bacterium
Lineage: Bacteria
Description: bacterial SSU rRNA
Rfam family: Bacterial small subunit ribosomal RNA
Source: RNAcentral
AACGUACGCUGGCGGCACGCCUAACACAUGCAAGUCCGAACGAAGUAGCAAUACUUCAGUGGCAGACGGGUGAGUCAACAUCGUAGGUCAUCUGCCCUUUGGCCUCGGAAUAACACGAGGAAACUCGUGCUAAUACCGGAUAAGUCUUUACGGAGAAAGCUUUAUGCACCAUCGGAUGAGCCUGCACUUGAUUAGUUUGUUGGUGGGGUAAUGGCCUACCAAGACUGUGAUCAAUAGCUGAUUUGAGAGGAUGAUCAGCCACAUUGGGACUGAGACACGGCCCAAACUCCUACGGGAGGCAGCAGUGGGGAAUCUUGCACAAUGGAGGAAACUCUGAUGCAGCGAUGCCGCGUGAGUGAAGAAGGCCCUUGGGUUGUAAAGCUCUUUCGUCGGGGAAGAAAAUGACUGUACCCGAAUAAGAAGGUCCGGCUAACUUCGUGCCAGCAGCCGCGGUAAUACGAAGGGACCUAGCGUAGUUCGGAAUUACUGGGCUUAAAGAGUUCGUAGGUGGUUGAAAAAGUUAGUGGUGAAAUCCCAGAGCUUAACUCUGGAACUGCCAUUAAAACUUUUCAGCUAGAGUAUGAUAGAGGAAAGCAGAAUUUCUAGUGUAGAGGUGAAAUUCGUAGAUAUUAGAAAGAAUACCAAUUGCGAAGGCAGCUUUCUGGAUCAUUACUGACACUGAGGAACGAAAGCAUGGGUAGCGAAGAGGAUUAGAUACCCUCGUAGUCCAUGCCGUAAACGAUGUGUGUUAGACGUUGGAAAUUUAUUUUCAGUGUCGCAGGGAAACCGAUAAACACACCGCCUGGGGAGUACGACCGCAAGGUUAAAACUCAAAUGAAUUGACGGGGACCCGCACAAGUAGUGGAGCAUGUGGUUUAAUUCGAAGAUACGCGCAGAACCUUACCAACACUUGACAUGUUCGUCGCGACUCUAAGAGAUUAGAGUUUUCGGUUCGGCCGGACGAAACACAGGUGCUGCAUGGCUGUCGUCAGCUCGUGUCGUGAGAUGUUGGGUUAAGUCCCGCAACGAGCGCAACCCUCACUUUUAGUUGCCAUCAUUAAGUUGGGCACUCUGAAAGAACUGCCAGUGAUAAGCUGGAGGAAGGUGGGGAUGACGUCAAGUCCUCAUGGCCCUUACGUGUUGGGCUACACACGUGCUACAAUGGUAUCUACAACAGGAAGCAAGACUGCGAAGUUAAGCAAAUCCCUAAAAGAUACCUCAGUUCGGAUUGCACUCUGCAACUCGAGUGCAUGAAGCUGGAAUUACUAGUAAUCGUGGAUCAGCGUGCCACGGUGAAUGCGUUCCCGGGUCU